Molecule: ribosomal RNA, 793 nt
Filed under: uncultured bacterium
Lineage: Bacteria
Description: bacterial SSU rRNA
Rfam family: Bacterial small subunit ribosomal RNA
Source: RNAcentral
AGAGUUUGAUCAUGGCUCAGGAUGAACGCUAGCGGCAGGCUUAAUACAUGCAAGUCGAGGGGCAGCACGGGUAGCAAUACCUGGUGGCGACCGGCAAACGGGUGCGGAACACGUACGCAACCUUCCCAUAACUGGUGAAUAGCCUUCCGAAAGGGAGAUUAAUACACCGUAACAUAGUUGAGUGGCAUCACUUGACUAUUAUAGCUUCGGCGGUUUUGGAUGGGCGUGCGCCUGAUUAGGUAGUUGGCGGGGUAACGGCCCACCAAGCCUUCGAUCAGUAACUGGUGUGAGAGCACGACCAGUCACACGGGCACUGAGACACGGGCCCGACUCCUACGGGAGGCAGCAGUAAGGAAUAUUGGUCAAUGGACGCAAGUCUGAACCAGCCAUGCCGCGUGAAGGAUGAAGGCCCUCUGGGUUGUAAACUUCUUUUAUCUGGGACGAAAAACGGACUUUCUAGUUCACUUGACGGUACCAGAGGAAUAAGCACCGGCUAACUCCGUGCCAGCAGCCGCGGUAAUACGGAGGGUGCAAGCGUUAUCCGGAUUUACUGGGUUUAAAGGGUGCGUAGGUGGGUAGGUAAGUCAGUGGUGAAAUCUUCAAGCUUAACUUGGAAACUGCCAUUGAUACUAUUUAUCUUGAAUACUUUGGAGGUAAGCGGAAUAUGUCAUGUAGCGGUGAAAUGCUUAGAUAUGACAUAGAACACCAAUUGCGAAGGCAGCUUACUACACAGUUAUUGACACUGAGGCACGAAAGCGUGGGGAUCAAACAGGAUUAGAUACCCUAGUAGUCC